GGAGUGUAGCUCAGGUGGUAGAGCACUUGACUUUUAAUCAAGUUGUCCGGGGUUCGAAUCCCCGCAC
This 67-nucleotide transfer RNA is filed under the name Mediterraneibacter massiliensis. It matches the Rfam family "tRNA", at positions 5 to 66 of the family's 71-position model. From Rfam's summary of the family: Transfer RNA (tRNA) molecules are approximately 80 nucleotides in length. Lineage: Bacteria; Bacillati; Bacillota; Clostridia; Lachnospirales; Lachnospiraceae. The record is from RNAcentral.